UGAAUGAAAGGCAAAGGUCAAGUGAGAGGG
RNAcentral lists this non-coding RNA (30 nucleotides) under Mus musculus (house mouse). The record is from RNAcentral. Lineage: Eukaryota; Metazoa; Chordata; Mammalia; Rodentia; Muridae.